AUGAGAUCCAACGAGCCCCUUAUAGAAACACCAUUCAAGUUCCAGAUUCCUGGAAAAGGGCAAUUGACAAUUGACCAGUUGCAUUGAAAAGGACAUCGAGCAAGGUGUUGAACACAAGUGAUGAUAACAGGAUUUAUAUCUCAUUCCCAUUCCUGGGUAGAAGCUUUCAAAUUCUCAAUUAAAUAUGGGUCUUCCUCUGUCACCCAGGCUGGCAUGCAGAGAUGGGCAUUCCAGCUAACUGCAGCCUCAACACCCUGUGCUCCAGCAAUCUUCCCACCUCAGCCUCCCCAGUAGUUGGGACUACAGGUGCUUGCCACAACA
This is a long non-coding RNA of Gorilla gorilla gorilla (western lowland gorilla), 321 nucleotides long. RefSeq lists it as uncharacterized. Lineage: Eukaryota; Metazoa; Chordata; Mammalia; Primates; Hominidae. The record is from RefSeq and is a predicted model, not a curated record. The transcript is spliced from 3 exons.